GGAUGCGAUCAUACCAGCUCUAAAGCACCGAAUCCCAUUAGAACUCCGAAGUUAAGCGUGCUUUGGUGAGAGUAGUACUAGGAUGGGUGACCUCCUGGGAAGUCCUCGUGUUGCAUUCC
Molecule: non-coding RNA, 119 nt
Organism: Triticum aestivum (bread wheat)
Lineage: Eukaryota; Viridiplantae; Streptophyta; Magnoliopsida; Poales; Poaceae
Source: Rfam